This 89-nucleotide transfer RNA is filed under the name Staphylococcus aureus. RNAcentral describes it as "tRNA-Ser(gga)". It matches the Rfam family "tRNA". From Rfam's summary of the family: Transfer RNA (tRNA) molecules are approximately 80 nucleotides in length. Their secondary structure includes four short double-helical elements and three loops (D, anti-codon, and T loops). Further hydrogen bonds mediate the characteristic L-shaped molecular structure. tRNAs have two regions of fundamental functional importance: the anti-codon, which is responsible for specific mRNA codon recognition, and the 3' end, to which the tRNAs corresponding amino acid is attached (by aminoacyl-tRNA synthetases). tRNAs cope with the degeneracy of the genetic code in two manners: having more than one tRNA (with a specific anti-codon) for a particular amino acid; and 'wobble' base-pairing, i.e. permitting non-standard base-pairing at the 3rd anti-codon position. The record is from RNAcentral. Lineage: Bacteria; Bacillati; Bacillota; Bacilli; Caryophanales; Staphylococcaceae.
GGAAGGUUGUCCGAGCUGGCCGAAGGAGCACGCCUGGAAAGUGUGUAGGCGUCACAAGCGUCUCAAGGGUUAGAAUCCCUUACCUUCCG